AUGGUAGUAAAAUGGCGGCAGAGAGCUAGUAAUGUGUCUGCAAUUGGUGGGUUCUUGGUCGCACUGACUUCAAGAAUGAAGCCGCGGACCCUCACGGUAUGACAGCUCCUCUCCCAACAGCUCUACUUUCUACAUCUACUCUCUACCACCACAAAACUUCUUUCAGUUCCAUGAAAGGGCCAUGUUUUUCUGGUCUCUUGGCCUAGGAGCAUGUUGUUCUUCUGCCAGCAACCUUCUUCAACCAUCUCCACAGGAUGACUCCUCUAUUGGAUACUUCCAUGAAAAGUCCAGGCCUGGGUUAUGUACCCUUCCCAAAGUGCACCCCAGACACCCAACAGUUUUUCCAGCCCAGACUCACCACACUGUGUGGUAAUUUCCUGAUCACUCAGUUGUGCUCCCCACAGACUAUAAGCUCUAUGAGGGCAGGGGCCACAGUUUGCUUGUUCACUACUAUAUGCUCAGUACCUGGUAAAUAUUAGUUGACUGAAGAAUGACUAUGUGGUAAUCUAUUCCAUUGGUGGCCUCCAGUGAACCAUGUCUUCUGGUAUUUACAUCUUGUGUGGUCCCCUCCAUUAAAUUUGGGCUUUAACCAACAGAAUGCUGCAGAAGCGACACCCUGCCACUUGUGCUUUUGUGAUCCUAGCCACCAGUAAGAAGCCCUGUGACCUUGCUGAGACCCUGAAGAGACCACAUAGAGAGGCCACUUGAAGGGCAAGGGGUCCUGACUCUACAUGGAGAGAGAAGCCCAGCCAUCCCUGUUUCCCAGCUGAGUCCUGACCAGAUAACUCACUACAAGACUGACCACAGGCAAGAACAGCAGAAGAGCUGCCCAGCUGAGCCCAUCCAAGAGUGCAGAAUUUCAAGCAAGUAAAAUGACUAAUGUUAGAACUCAGAAUGAAGGGGCCUCAGGUUACCUGCAUCAUUCUGGUUUUUUGCUCCUGUUUUACUACGAAGCAAACACCUCGACUAUAAGCCGCCAUAGACCAGGGUCUGUGUCUCAUUCGUGUCUGGACAAUGCAUCACAGACACUCAACUGUUUUCUGCCUGAGCAGAAUUAAGACUUGGCCUCCUAACUCCUCCAUCACCAUCUUCUCCACUCUCUUCCUUGGCCUUCAUCACCAACACCACCUCAUCAACCGUGAAAGAUUCAAAGAGUAAGGAAAACCAUUUCUAGGACCAUGAAAUGUGUCACUGGAUCUCCUGCAGAAAUCUGCCAGAGCUACAAUGUGACUGGUUUCUACAUGUCUGACAAAUUUCUAUUUAAAUAAGUAUUUUUCAAAAUGCAAAUUGCUACCUAUUCUUUGGCCAUCAAAUCACUUUAGUGGGUUGCAACCGGCUUUUUCUUCUUAAUAGAAAAGGAAAUGUGUUGCAUUUGGUAAACAUGGAAAUUGUUUUAU
RNAcentral lists this long non-coding RNA (1397 nucleotides) under Homo sapiens (human). RNAcentral's name for it is "HSALNT0307295". The record is from RNAcentral. Lineage: Eukaryota; Metazoa; Chordata; Mammalia; Primates; Hominidae.